RNAcentral lists this microRNA precursor (167 nucleotides) under Picea abies (Norway spruce). Its description in RNAcentral is "miR11559 stem-loop (pab-MIR11559)". Lineage: Eukaryota; Viridiplantae; Streptophyta; Pinopsida; Pinales; Pinaceae. The record is from miRBase by way of RNAcentral.
AUGGCGGCCGUAGAAGAUGAUGCAGAUAAGAAAUACAUGAUUCUGUGCACGCUGAUUGCCCUUGCCACUGCCGUUUAUUCGAUAGUUUAUGAGUUCUUACCCCAUGGGAAGUACCAGCUUCAAGCAGUCUACGUUGCGGUGCUUAUUAUUCUCUUGAUGGCCCCUAU